GUCUCUCCUUUUGUCAUCGUCUUGACUUCGUGUAUUUUGGUUUUAGGGGGAAGGAAAAUAAAAAGUAUCAAACGACCAUGUUAAAAACAAAUCUGUACAAUGUGCUGGCCGCGGAUCACCAGCCUUCUCGUCCGUUCUUGUACAAACCGGAAAUGAACCAGGAGCACGCCAGCUACCGCUCCGGGUGCAACGGAAGCCUUCAAAGAAUCGAUCCGAUGGCGGAUGGCGUUUUCCAGUCGGUCAGCUGCACGACAGGGAAAGAAAUUGAUGAAGCUGCUGAAGGUGGUCAGGCCCCGGACUCUACCCCGAGGAACUCCUGCAGAGAUGUUCUGGACCUGAGAUGACUGACCUCCGACCAUCACAACAAUCUGCCGAUGUGCCAGGGCUUGAGAACAGAUAUCAAGGCUAAUGCUGCAGCUUAAUACAGAAGAGAUGUCAGUGAGUCAAGGUGGUCUAUCUUGGAUGAGAUGUUAAGUCAAAGCUAUGCAUAUCUGCUUGGAUGGACAUAAAAGAUCCUGUAACAUUACUUUGAAGAAGUGCCAGGAGAGUUUCUGCAGUAAAAUAAAACCAAAAACUGUGGAUGCUGGACAUCUGCAUUAAAAACAGAAAAUUUUGGAUAAACUCAGCAGAUCUGGCAUCAUCUGUGGAGAGAGAAACAGUUCAUAUUUUUAAGUCAGAUAGAAAAAACAGUCAUAUUGGACUCAAAAUGUUUUCUUCCCACAGAUGUUGCCAGAUCUGUUCAAUUUGUCAAAUGUUUUGUUUUCAUUAUGAGUAAUCUCUACUGCCUCUGCUGAUGUUUAUCCCCCAGUCAACAUACCAAAAGUAGAUUAUCUGGUCAUUAUCAUAUUUUGUUGUUUGUGAACGUGUGAUGACUGGAGAUUCUGUCUGAAAAUUGUUGGUCUUGCACAGCAAGGAGUUGACUUUGACUGAGCAUUGCAGGCUGGCAUUCCAAGGUCCAGGAUUAAAUGCUGAGGGACACACUAAAGCUUGGGGCAUCUGCUGCCAAGGCACAGUGGGGAAAGACACCAUUAAGGUCUUUCUGCUGAAGUUAAAUGGGGAUCCGUUCAGUUAUUGGACCCUCCAACUGCUUCAAGUGUACAGAAAUGUAAUCUUGUACAAUAAGAAAUCCCUUUGGUUUGUUAGUCUGAUAGACUCAAACUCCACUGUCUGUUUCUCCAUAUGCUACUGUAUUGAACCAAACUGCUUUAGUGAUUAUUUAUGCAUAUAAAAAUAUUUUUAUGGUUAUCGUAUAUUAUUGAAAUAUAAAAAGGCUGGAAAUUACAUGGUACAGUUGCCUCACUCAGAUUUGACUGUCAUUUUCUUUUUUAAAUUGAUUUUCAGGUUUUCAGCUUUUCUCUGACCUUCUUAUGAGUUUCGUUAUAGGGUGGCUAGGUUUCACUCCUAACCUAAUUGUGGCUGCUUGAUUCUACUUUCAGGCCAUGACCUCAGAACUACCCGCCUACCUAAAUUUCUUUCUCAGUACAAUCACAAUUAACUCUCUUGCAGCUUUUUGAUUGUUAUUUCAGACUUGUUACAUACCCCUCCAGUGUGUCGCCAGUAAAGAUUUUGCCUUGUGACUUAUGCAUCUUCUGACUCUCGAACCUCUGAUGAUACAUUCCCUUGGUUAAAGAUUUCCUGAUUCCUUGAAUAACUUGAAAUUGCAAGGUAUCUUCAUUCUUCAUUAGUCAUUGUUCUUGGAUUAACUGUCCGCUUUUGCUUGCUGAAAUUCUAAUACUGAAACGAUAACAACUCUCUACAAAUCCUUAAAAUACUCACAAUAUACUAAUAUAUUAGAUGAUCGGGGGGUGGUACGGUGGCUCAGUGGUUAGCGCUGCUGCCUGACAGUGCCAGGGACCGGGGGUUCGAUUCUACCCUGUGUGUAGUUGCACAUUCUCCCUCUGUCUGCACGGAUUUCCUGCAGGUGCUCCAGUUUCCUCCCACAGUCCAAAGGUGUGCAGGUUAGGUGGAUUGGCCUUGCUAAAUUGCCCAUAGGGCUCAGGCUCAUGAAGAUUAGUGGGUGAUUGGGGAUAGGUCUAUUGGGAUGCUGUGAGGGUUGGUGUAGACUUGUUGGGCCGAAGGAUCUAUUUCCACACUGUAGAGAUUCUAUACUUUUAUGAAUACGUAAAAUGCCUUUGCAAAUUAAAAGCCCAUCUGUCAUCAGGCUAAUUUGUUCAAAAAAGUGUUCUGCAGCCUGCAAAGUUAGUGGAUAUGACCAAGAGCUAAAUAUUGACUCAUCUUGAGUGUCAACCAUCAAAAUCAGCAAUACAUUGCAACAAAACAGCUUGACAAGGUGCUAAUGUGCAAGUAGUAAGUAGACCUUAAGGCUCAGCAAACAGCAAUCAAAAAGUCAACCAGAAAAAAAGGAACAUAAAAAGACCAUAAGAACAUAAGAAAUAGGAGUAGGAGUAGGCCAUCUGGCCCCUCAAGCCUGCUCCGCCAUUCAAUAAGUUCAUGGCUGAUCUUUUUGUGGCCUCAGCUGCACUUAACUGCCUGGUCACCAUAGCCCUUAAUUCCUUAUUGUUCAAGCACCUAUGUAUCUAUCAACAAGGUAGCCUCAACUACUAAGCUGGAUAGGGAAUUCCAUAGAUUCACAGUCCCUUGCAUGAAGAAGUUUCUCCUUAACUCAUCCCUAAAUCUGCUCCCCCUUAUUCUGUGGCUAAACUCUGUAGUUCUGGUUUCAUUCAUGAGUGGAAACAACCUUAUGCUUCUAUCUUGUCUAUUCUCUUUAUAGUUUUAUAUGUUUCUAUAAAAGCCCCCCUCAUUUUUCUAAAUUACAAUGAGUAUGGUCCCAGUCUGCUCAAUCUCUCCUCACAAGCCAACUCUGUCAACUCUGGAAUCAACCUGGUGUAUCUUCUCUGCACCCCUUCCAGUACUAGUACAUCCUUUCUCAAGUAAGGAGACCAAAACUGUGCAUAGUACUCCAUAUGUGGCCUUACCAUCCCUCUAGCACUGAAGGACAAUAUUCCAUUUGUCUUCCCAACUACCUGCUGCACCAGCAAACCAACAUUUUGUGAUUCAUACACAAGGACAUCAAGGUCCCUCUGCACAGCAGCAAGCUGCAACUUUUCACCAUUUAAAUAAGAGUCCAUUUUGCUGUUAUUCUUACUGAAAUGAAUGACCUCACAUUUACCAACAUUGUAACUCCAUCUGCCAGACUCUUGUCCACUCACUUUAACCUGUCUACAUCCCUCUGCAGACUUUCAGUGUCCCCUGCACACUUUGCUCUACCACUCAUCUUAGAGUCGUCUACAAACUUUGACACACUACAUGCGGUCCCCAACUCCAAAUAAUCUGUGUAAAUUGUAAACAAUUGCAGUCCCAGCACUGAUCCGUGAUGCACACUAAUAACCAUUGAUCGCCAAUCAGAAAGGCACCCAUUCAUCCCCACUCUUUGCUUUCUGUUAGUUAACCAAUCUUCUACCCAUGCUAAUACAUCACCCAUAACACUUCAUCUUAUACAGCAGCCUUUUGUAAGGCACCUUAUCAAAUGCCUUCUGGAACUCCAGAUAUACCACGUCUACUGAUUCUCCAUUGUCCACUGUGCACGUAAGUCCUCAAAGAAUUUCAGUAAAUAAGUUAGACAUGAUCUGCCUUUCAUGAAUGCAUGCUGCAUCUGCCCAAUGAGACAAUUUCUACCUUUUUGUGGAUAGGGCAUUGGACCAUUUUCCACUAUGCCAGGUAUGUACCAGCGUUGUAUCUGCACUGAAACAGCUUGACUAGGGACAUAAAAACUGAAAGAACUGUGGAUGCUGUAA
Molecule: long non-coding RNA, 3755 nt
Organism: Stegostoma tigrinum
Lineage: Eukaryota; Metazoa; Chordata; Chondrichthyes; Orectolobiformes; Stegostomatidae
Exons: 3
Source: RefSeq, a predicted model, not a curated record